UACGGAGGGUGCAAGCGUUGUCCGGAAUCACUGGGCGUAAAGGGCGCGUAGGCGGCUCAUGAAGGCUGUGGUGAAAGUCCGGGGCUCAACCUCGGAUCGGCCGUGGCGACUCGUGGGCUGGAGCACUGUGGAGGCGGGUGGAAUUCCGGGUGUAGCGGUGGAAUGCGUAGAGAUCCGGAAGAACACCAGUGGCGAAGGCGGCCCGCUGGGCAGUGGCUGACGCUGAGGCGCGACAGCGUGGGGAGCAAACAGG
This 253-nucleotide ribosomal RNA is filed under the name uncultured bacterium. Its description in RNAcentral is "partial 16S ribosomal RNA". It matches the Rfam family "Bacterial small subunit ribosomal RNA", at positions 524 to 776 of the family's 1533-position model. The record is from RNAcentral.